Molecule: transfer RNA, 65 nt
Filed under: Sinoxylon sp. SIN01
Lineage: Eukaryota; Metazoa; Arthropoda; Insecta; Coleoptera; Bostrichidae
Description: tRNA-Asn
Source: RNAcentral
UUAAUUGAAACCAAAAUAGAGGUAUAUCACUGUUAAUGAUAAAACUGAGCUCAACUCCAAUUAAA